AUGAGCAGCUCCGUCGUCAUCUGCCCGGUGCCCCCCCCAGCCCUGCUGGUGCCCCUCACUCCCGACCUGCAGCACCCCCUCCGGCCCUGCCCCCCAGGCCUACCGGUGCCCCUCACUCCCGACCUGCAGCCCCCCCUCCGGCCCUGCCGGUGCCCCUCACUCCCGACCUGCAGCACCCCCUCCGGCCCUGCCCCCCAGCCCUGCCGGUGCCCCUCACUCCCGACCUGCAGCACCCCCUCCGGCCCUGCCCCCCAGCCCUGCUGGUGCCCCUCACUCCCGACCUGCAGCACCCCCUCCGGCCCUGCCCCCCAGCCCUGCCGGUGCCCCUCACUCCCGACCUGCAGCCCCCCCUCCGGCCCUGCCGGUGCCCCUCACUCCCGACCUGCAGCACCCCCUCCGGCCCUGCCCCCCAGCCCUGCCGGUGCCCCUCACUCCCGACCUGCAGCCCCCCCUCCGGCCCUGCCGGUGCCCCUCACUCCCGACCUGCAGCACCCCCUCCGGCCCUGCCCCCCAGCCCUGCUGGUGCCCCUCACUCCCGACCUGCAGCACCCCUUCCGGCCCUGCCCCCCAGCCCUGCCGGUGCCCCUCACUCCCGACCUGCAGCACCCCCUCCGGCCCUGCCGGUGCCCCUCACUCCCGACCUGCAGCACCCCCUCCGGCCCUGCCCCCCAGCCCUGCCGGUGCCCCUCACCCCCGACCUGCAGCACCCCUUCCGGCCCUGCCCCCCAGCCCUGCCGGUGCCCCUCACUCCCGACCUGCAGCACCCCCUCCGGCCCUGCCGGUGCCCCUCACUCCCGACCUGCAGCACCCCCUCCGGCCCUGCCCCCCAGCCCUGCCGGUGCCCCUCACUCCCGACCUGCAGCACCCCCUCCGGCCCUGCCGGUGCCCCUCACUCCCGACCUGCAGCCCCCUGGUGGCUGGAGUGCAGGUGGGGUGGGAAGGUUGGGAGCCCGGACGCCUGGGUUCUCUCCUGACUCUGGGAGGGAAUGUGGCAGGGCCUUUGGGUCACUGGGCUCGCCCUAG
This 1023-nucleotide long non-coding RNA is filed under the name Gopherus evgoodei (Goodes thornscrub tortoise). Its description in RNAcentral is "lncRNA (ENSGEVG00005017425.1)". Lineage: Eukaryota; Metazoa; Chordata; Testudines; Testudinidae. The record is from RNAcentral.